CUGCCCGUAGCUCAACCGGAUAGAGCACCGGCCUUCUAAGCCGGGGGUUGUGGGUUCGAGUCCCGCCGGGCGGACCA
This 77-nucleotide transfer RNA is filed under the name Burkholderiales bacterium. Its description in RNAcentral is "tRNA-Arg". It matches the Rfam family "tRNA". From Rfam's summary of the family: Transfer RNA (tRNA) molecules are approximately 80 nucleotides in length. Their secondary structure includes four short double-helical elements and three loops (D, anti-codon, and T loops). The record is from RNAcentral. Lineage: Bacteria; Pseudomonadati; Pseudomonadota; Betaproteobacteria; Burkholderiales.